This is a non-coding RNA of Equus caballus (horse), 172 nucleotides long. The record is from Rfam. Lineage: Eukaryota; Metazoa; Chordata; Mammalia; Perissodactyla; Equidae.
UGCUUGUGCGUUUAAAUGGGUGUGGUGCUAAGUAUAUCUUGUUUACCUUAUCUUUCUGUGGAAAAAGUUUUGAAGUCUGGUUGGGUUUGUCACAUCAUGCCUGUUGCCUAGCACUACCGAAAGUGUGCGUAUCUUGCGAGGAAGACUGGAUCAGUGGAGGUUGUGGCUUGGC